UUAUGAAAUCGUUAAGUUUAUUUGGGACACGAGAAUUUGCUGAACGCCUUCCGGACCUGGCUAUGCAUUCGUGACUACUGAUCUUUUUCCGACACAAUGCUUCCUGCUCCUGGUCCCUGACAGACAUACUUUGCAGUGCCUCCUGGUUCGGCUGCCUUGGGCAUCUGUCUGAGGCAUUUCAGCUGGGAAAUGUCGUGCAGUGAGGCGCAGGGGGUUGUCACCAGAAGGCCGGCCUCCUGUGGGUGGACAGCGAGGGAUGUGAUGCUCCUCCAGCAGCUCUCUCAUGAGGUUCUCCCGAUAUUUUUGGUGGUCGACCCUUCCGGUUUCUGACAUGGUGGCCGUAUGGACAGUGGAGAGGACAUGAACAUCCCUCUUGUCAUGCCACUUCACAGCUAGCUGUUUCCCAUGUCCAAGAAUUCAACCUCCCCUCUCUGCAUCUUCCUGCUGCUGAAUCUUGGCAUCCCCUUCCUGUCACUCUGGACUGUGCCACAGGCCCCAGUGCUGUUAGACAAGAGAUGCUGAAACAGAGUUGGACUACUGUACUAGUUGUCAACAUAAAGUGUGUGGCCCUUGCCAAGGUGAGGAGCCAACAUGGUCAUUACCACUGAUCCGGACACACCAAGACCCUCAUAAUGCUGGAUGUCAGUAGGGGAUCCUGUGUGUAUUAUAAUGUCCUGAACAAAUCCUGUCUUGACAUCACACAGAAAUAAUUUGACCCCAAACCUGUGCCUUUUGGAGGGAAUAUAUUGUCGAAAGGACAACCUACCCUUCCACAGCAUUAGGGAUUCAUCGAUGCACAGAUCUUUGUAGGGGUCAAAGACCUGACCAAAUGCUUUUGUCAGUCCUGAUAGAACUCUCCUUAUUUUGUG
Long non-coding RNA from Esox lucius (northern pike), 869 nucleotides. The record is from Ensembl. NCBI's taxonomy places the organism in Eukaryota, Metazoa, Chordata, Actinopteri, Esociformes, Esocidae.